UAACCUGCUGCUCCCCGAAUAGCAUGGAGAAGACAACUUCAGAUGGACAGAUAUUUCCAGAGAGAAUGCCAGCCUCUUCCCUUGCCGGCCUCCUCUCUGUCUGGCUCUUACUUACCACUUAAAGACGAGGUUGAGCCAGUCUCCAAUCACAGCUACCCAGAGAAGUUUAAUGCCCACAGCUUCGCGAAGAUGGAACCAGAUGGGGAAGAGGACAUAGAAGGCAUUCCUGAGGUCUGCGAUCACGGACACCAAGAUGAACCAAUCCUGGGAGUCCUGGUAAUUCACCUGGAGGUGUACAACAUAGUGAUUGAACAUCUCUAUCCAUUACGUGGUGCUCAUCACAAGUGUGACUGUCAUCUGUCUCUGUGCAAGUUCUUUUUGUGUAUGUCUCAACAUUUUCCCUGCUAUCCUGAGCCCUGAGGAUCAAGAAAACAUCUCUUCCAGCCUUCAGAAUUGAGCUCCACUUGUAGAUGUGUUGGAACCCUGGACCACAGAGGGGAGAAGUCAAGGCUGGUCUGCUGAGACUCAUUGCUGUAACAUGUGACCUGACAGCCAGCCCCAGCCAUCAGACGUGUGAGUGAGGCCAUCCUAGACCAUCCAGCACCAGACCAUCUGCCAGAUAUCUGCAGCCCUCUGAAUGAUCCCAGGUGACUUCAGCAAAGGAACUUCCCAAGUGAGCCCAGGCCUGAAAGCUGACCUAUGGAAAAAUGAGCAAAUAAAAUGGUUUGUUGUUUUAAGCCGUUAA
Long non-coding RNA from Suricata suricatta (meerkat), 745 nucleotides. RefSeq lists it as uncharacterized. Lineage: Eukaryota; Metazoa; Chordata; Mammalia; Carnivora; Herpestidae. The record is from RefSeq and is a predicted model, not a curated record. The transcript is spliced from 4 exons.